This 75-nucleotide antisense RNA is filed under the name Micromonospora palomenae. RNAcentral's name for it is "ASpks TB sRNA". It matches the Rfam family "ASpks TB sRNA". Lineage: Bacteria; Bacillati; Actinomycetota; Actinomycetes; Micromonosporales; Micromonosporaceae. The record is from RNAcentral.
CUUGAUCGAGCCGAGCCAGAGCGGGCGCUCCGCCGGGCGCUCCUGGCCGUACGUGGCGAGCAGGGCCUGCGCCUC